RNAcentral lists this ribosomal RNA (497 nucleotides) under uncultured bacterium. RNAcentral describes it as "partial 16S ribosomal RNA". It matches the Rfam family "Bacterial small subunit ribosomal RNA", at positions 28 to 507 of the family's 1533-position model. The record is from RNAcentral.
GAUGAACGCUGGCGGCGUGCCUAAUACAUGCCAGUCGAGCGAACAGACGAGGAGCUUGCUCCUCUGACGUUAGCGGCGGACGGGUGAGUAACACGUGGAUAACCUACCUAUAAGACUGGGAUAACUUCGGGAAACCGGAGCUAAUACCGGAUAAUAUAUUGAACCGCAUGGUUCAAUAGUGAAAGACGGUUUUGCUGUCACUUAUAGAUGGAUCCGCGCCGCAUUAGCUAGUUGGUAAGGUAACGGCUUACCAAGGCAACGAUGCGUAGCCGACCUGAGAGGGUGAUCGGCCACACUGGAACUGAGAAACGGUCCAGACUCCUACGGGAGGCAGCAGUAGGGAAUCUUCCGCAAUGGGCGAAAGCCUGCCGGAGCAACGCCGCGUGAGUGAUGAAGGUCUUCGGAUCGUAAAACUCUGUUAUUAGGGAAGAACAAAUGUGUAAGUAACUAUGCACGUCUUGACGGUACCUAAUCAGAAAGCCACGGCUAACUACGUG